GGCCCGUUCGUCUAACGGUUAGGACACAUGGUUUUCAUCCAUGAAAUAGGAGUUCGAUUCUCCUACGGGCUA
This 72-nucleotide transfer RNA is filed under the name Flavobacteriaceae bacterium. Its description in RNAcentral is "tRNA-Glu". It matches the Rfam family "tRNA". Rfam says of the family: Transfer RNA (tRNA) molecules are approximately 80 nucleotides in length. Their secondary structure includes four short double-helical elements and three loops (D, anti-codon, and T loops). Further hydrogen bonds mediate the characteristic L-shaped molecular structure. tRNAs have two regions of fundamental functional importance: the anti-codon, which is responsible for specific mRNA codon recognition, and the 3' end, to which the tRNAs corresponding amino acid is attached (by aminoacyl-tRNA synthetases). tRNAs cope with the degeneracy of the genetic code in two manners: having more than one tRNA (with a specific anti-codon) for a particular amino acid; and 'wobble' base-pairing, i.e. permitting non-standard base-pairing at the 3rd anti-codon position. Lineage: Bacteria; Pseudomonadati; Bacteroidota; Flavobacteriia; Flavobacteriales; Flavobacteriaceae. RNAcentral also lists the same sequence under 2 other names. The record is from RNAcentral.